Molecule: long non-coding RNA, 1753 nt
Organism: Solea senegalensis (Senegalese sole)
Lineage: Eukaryota; Metazoa; Chordata; Actinopteri; Pleuronectiformes; Soleidae
Exons: 3
Source: RefSeq, a predicted model, not a curated record
GUGUGUGUGUGUCCUUUUUAGCUUGAAAAACUGCAGGCCCUGGGUGUAAGGGCAAUGCUCUUGACAGCAAACACCUGGGUGUCCGAGGUGUUACUGCCCCGUUGCCACUUGUCGGCGAACGCUACUACAUGUGUGGACAGAAUGCGGGACAUUUAUGGACUUCUUGUUCACGACUGGGUCCUACCAGAUGCCACACGCCAGUUGGAUGAACCCUCAUCAGCCCCAGUCGAACAACCAACUGGACCAGUAGCUCCACCAGAUCCCCAGCAAACACUGGCUCCACCUGAUCCCCGAAGGGCCCCAACUGGACCAGUAAUGGCCCCACCAGACCCAGUGGAGGUUGUCCCUCAGCAACCUCCACUACAUCAGUGAAGUUCCUGACUAGGCCACCAGCAGCCCCAACUGGACCAUCAACCUCUGGUUCCCAUUCCUCAGAAGGAACUCCAGCUGCCCCAGUUGCUUUAGAAAAAGUAAUAGAUGACAUUGUGAAAGAAGGCUGUCCUGCUCCCAGUGCAGUGCUGAAACGGAAAAGGAAAGGUGUGUUGUAAUGUCAAUCCAUAAUUGUCUGAAUAUGGUUUUAAAAAAAAUAUAUAUACUGUAUAUAUAAUUGAAGUAUACCACAAUGAAGUAAUCAGAUAUUUUUGUCCAUAAUACUUUUAGAGAGUCCAGUCAGCACACAGUCAUAGAGGAGUAAAACGUAUUCACACCGACCCGAGAGGAUAAAAUCCUAAUGAAAUAAAUGAACACUUGAUUAAUGUAGUAGUUGAUCAAUAGUUGAUUCAUUGUUGCCACUCUAAAUGAAUGUGCUUACAGUUUGAAUGCUCCACCUUUCAUUUUAAAUAUGUCCUGUAGUGUGGGAUUUGCAUUGUCCAGUCUUGGUCAUCACUCAGUCUCAGUUUAGAUGUUCUUAAGUAAGAGCAUAAGCUGACAGUGAAUGAGACUGUGAUCUUUUAUUUUCCCCACUGGUCUCAUUGCUACACAUUUCCCUUAAUUCAUACAGUAAGUGUGUCCAUUCUUUGUAAACAGACACGUCUACUGACACAUGAUUUUGGUGUGAUCUUGGUUUUCAAAGACAAAAAAAAUACCCUAGUCUCUGCUGUGAAGUGCUCUACUCUUCUAUGAAACAGUCAUUUGAAUUGAUUUUGAUUCAUUUGAGCACUGAUGACUGCCCAUAUAUAUUUAUCCUCUCAUCCAUCUCUAUAGUCCAUUGAUUACAGUCAUUUACCAAUGAUGCAUGCAAGCUCUGUACCAGAAUAACUACAUAUCUUCCCUUUCAGAAUGCCCACAUACAGUAUCAGGGAGCAAAGAGUUCUACCCUGUGAAGAGGGUUGCCUAAUGCAAAGUUUUAAAGGUUCAAUAAUCCCACACAGAGUCAUUCACCUGCUGACGUUUCCUAGAACUCUCAUGUUAGAGAAUCUACAGUCAUAAAGUGCUGAUAGUCUUUAUGUAAUCUGUGUAAUAAUCCUGAAAGAGUAUUCAAGACGGAGGUAUAGCCAAAGAUUUGAACUGAAUAGGGACAAAAAUUGCAACUGGUGGAGUGGGAGCCGUGCAAGUCCUGGUAUGUAUGACUUGUGAUCACAGCAUAUCUUAUUUGAUACCAACACUGAGAACAUUCACAUGCACACCAAUAAUCUUUGUUUAUGAUACUGGCAAAGUGCUCUCUGUAGCCCGACGUGUGCCUCCAAAAAAUGUCGUCAUCAGUCGAGGCAACUGAGACCAAUGGAGACCGCGGUGCUGUCAUUAGUCAGUUAAC